GACACUUAAAGAGCAAAAAGCUUUAUACAAGUCUAUCAGUAAAAUGUUCCUCGAUUUGUUAGUCUUUAUAAUCCUGAAAAGGUCCCUUUUUCCAUCAUACUAUUGUCACUAAGAAAUAUAAAAAAAAAUUACCUCUUCAUUCUGACAGAUGCAGAAAUUGUCAUUACAUAUAAAUUCCAUAAAAUUUAUCUCCAUUCCUAAGCUAGUGAGAUCAAUAAAGUUGUUUUAUGAGUUACUAUGGUAACAAAUGGAAGCCAUGCAGUCAGAUUUAACACACAAAAAUAUCAAAUUUCACAUUUUUAUUUUUCUUACUGAAAUUCCAUGUUGUGUGAGAAUAUGUAAAUGAAAUGAGUUACAAAAAUGGAUCAAUUACUAAUAAAAAAAAACUUAAAUCAUGAUAUAAAUUUAUACCAAUCAAUAGCAUGCUUGAUGGAUAUGUAAGCUGAAAAUCUAUUGGUUCAGCAUCCAUAAAGCAACAUCAAUUCUACCUGAGCAGGUAAACAGACAGGUGGAAUUACAGGUGAGACAAUCUCAUCUAUCAAGUCUCCUGACCAAAAAUGCUUAGGAAUCAGGAAAAUGGUUAGAAAAUGAGAGAAAAAUUGUUAUGGAAAAUCAGAAACAUGUUUUCCAAAUGAAAUUUACAUUUUUGAUGGAUUUUGACAGAUCAAAGAGAAAAUGAAUUCUCUCAAGGAGUUCAGACACAAAAUCUCACAACUAAAAGAAAGUUUACAUAGAUGCUAAGGGGUAAGAUGGCGUCUCUACCAACUCAUCACUAAAAAGAAUGCUGGGAGAUAGAGAGAGGAUUUCAUUGGUUAGCUGACCAGAUCAUCCCGGCUACCAUGUGAUAGUUCACACAGCUGUGCAUCAUAUCCAUGGAUACCACACACAGUUUCCUUGGCAACAUGUACUUGUUAUUUAAAAUAGUGACAUGGAGGGCUUUAAUUACAUCCCUGCCAGCUAUGCACAAAUUACAAUUGGACAUGUCAAAAUCUAAAGGAAGAACAUUUGAUAUUUGCCCAUUGGCCCUGUUAUCUAGAUUAAAGAUAGAUACAAGCAAUUAUACAACAUAUCUAAACAUUUAUAAUCAUCAUAUCAUUAUAGUCACAAAUACUUCAUUUACAUUAGGGGGAUGUAAUAAACUCCACAGGAAGUCUAUACAAAGGAUUAAUUUUACUGUGUGUAAAAAUCACAACAAAAUUCUUAAAAUCACUAUUUUCACAAAAACAGCAUUUAAACAAAAAUCAAGAUAGAUUUUUUAAAGAAAUAAGAGAAAAGUUUAAACUUACAUUUACAAAUUCAUCUUAACCAGAAUCACUGAGGCAUUUCAGGGACAUUUAAAUGAGAGUAUUGAUUAGACAACAGCUGUAGAAAAUUCCACAUGUCCUUGGAUGUAGAUGUAUGUUUCAGAGCAACACCUACAACACAACUGGCUGCAAUUGAUUAUAACAGGACCACUUGUUGAUUGUGACCAGACUACACAUAAGAUAAUGACCUGGAGAUGACAAUACACACACAUAUAUAUACUUAAAUCUAUUUAUCUAUGUCACUGAUAAUAUACAAUUAUGACAUGUACACUCUACUUUUUUCCCCUUUUCCUUAUUUACAUGUUAAAAACAUUUAUGCAUUGUGUUACAUGUUUAGGGAAUAACAUUUUUAUUGAUUCAAUAUUUUUCUAUGAAAUAUUAUUAAAAAAACAUUUUGAUACUAAAUUUAAUAAAAUUAAAAACACAUUCUUGUUUGUAUUGUUCUGUUAAUAAAUUGAGAAAACAAUUUCUAACAAUAGUAAACACAUGAAAGUACAUUGUAUUUAGAUUUAAGCCAAUGGCAAUGACCUUAUUCUAGUAUAUGUCUGAAGAUAAUUUAAUAUAGCCUGAUUUUGUUUUACUAGAGGCUCAAAGGAGCCUGAAUAGCUCACCUGGGACUCUAAUAGAGACCAAAUUUUAUUUGAUGCACAUAUUUAUGUUAGUUUUCAAGAUAAUGGCCUAAAAUGCAAAAAAAAAAGAGAACUCAUAUGAAGAAUUGAUUAAUGAUUUUGAACAUGUUUGACCUUUAUCUUGUCUUGCUGGUCAUCUUUAUGAUUAACAUUUCUGUUUGUCUAAUAUGGAAUUGGGACCCAACUAUUUCCCCCAUUACUUCAAUGCAAUUUUAUCAAAAUUGAGGGGCAAAUUUUUUAUUCCCUAUCUUAGACUGCAAAAUUUCAAUUACUUUCUCAUACUUGUAUCCCCCUUCAUGGUUUCUUGGGGGAAUUCUUGAAAGGUCAUGACCGGCAUUUAAGAGAGCAAUACUGUUUUGAGUAUUCUUGGGUCAUUUUAUAAUUCCUGGUUAAAAAUGAAAAUAAAAUUUGGACCAUUUACUCAGACAAUCAUCCACCCUAUACAUUUCAGAAUCACUUAAAAUUUAACAGAAGUUGAAAGUUUAAUGAAUACCCUUUAGAUAUACUACAAAU
This is a long non-coding RNA of Mytilus californianus (California mussel), 2446 nucleotides long. RefSeq lists it as uncharacterized. The transcript has 2 exons. The record is from RefSeq and is a predicted model, not a curated record. NCBI's taxonomy places the organism in Eukaryota, Metazoa, Mollusca, Bivalvia, Mytilida, Mytilidae.